This is a non-coding RNA of Zopfochytrium polystomum, 73 nucleotides long. Lineage: Eukaryota; Fungi; Chytridiomycota; Chytridiomycetes; Chytridiales; Chytridiaceae. The record is from the annotation of a GenBank genome assembly.
GGUCAGAUGGCCGAGCUGGUCUGGGGCGCCGCACUCAAGUUGCGGUCUCUCGGUUCGAAUCCCACUCUGACCA